RNAcentral lists this long non-coding RNA (3476 nucleotides) under Homo sapiens (human). RNAcentral's name for it is "HSALNT0257231". The record is from RNAcentral. Lineage: Eukaryota; Metazoa; Chordata; Mammalia; Primates; Hominidae.
AGACCAUCCUAGCCAACAUGGUGAAACCCCGUCUCUACUAAAAGUACAAAAAAAUUAGCCGGGCGUGGUGGAGCAUGCCUGUAAUCCCAGCUACUCGGGAGGCAGAGCCAGGAGAAUCCCUUGAAUCAGGGAGUUGGAGGUUGCAGUGAGCCGAGAUCGCGCCACAGCACUCUAGCCUAGCGACAGAGCGAGACUCCGUCUCAAAAAAAAAAAAAAGAUUGUCUUCAUCCAAGCCAGUUUCCAUUUCUUGGACACACAUUGCUGGUCAGCCAAUCAGAUGCUGGUAUUGAGGUGAAAACAGAAACGAUUUCUGCCUCUGGAUUCUCUGAGAUUCGUGGGAAAAAUGGUAUCCCUAAAAAACAAAGCAAGACACAAAAACCUGACCCCGGUGAGAUGGUGCAAGAACUUGCAAAGUAAAAUGCACUUGGAAACUCCCUGGGACAUAGUGCAGUGUCUCCUGAGAGGUCAUAAAAGAGAGAUGGGGUUCUGUCAGGCCUCUGAGCCCAAGCCUGCACAUAUACAUCCAGAUGGCCUGAGGCAACUGAAGAACAAUGAAAGAAGUGAAAAUGGCCAGUUCCUGCCUUAACUGAUGACAAUCCACCAUUGUGAUUUGUUCCUACCCCACCCUGACUGAUCAAUUAACCUUGUGACAUUCCUUCUCCUGGACAAUGAGUCUCAGAAGCUCCCUUACCGAGCACCUUGUAAUCCCCCCCACCCCGCUGCCUGCAAGAGAAAAAUUCCCUUUGACUGUAAUUUUCCACUACCUACCCCAAUCCUAUAAAACUGCCCCACCCCUAUCUCCCUUUGCUGGCUCUGUUUUCAGACUCAGCCCACUUGCACCCAAGUGAAAUAAACAACCUUGUUCCUCACACAAAGCCUGUUGGUGGACUCUCUUCACACAGAUGUGUGUGUCAUUUGGUGCUGAAGACCUGGGACAGGGGGAAUCCUUUGGGAGACUGGUCCCCUGUACUCACCCUCACUCCAUGAGGAGAUCCACCCAUGACCUUUGGUCCUCAGACCAGCCCAAGGAACAUCUCACCAAUUUUAAGUCUGGUUCUGCCUGCAGGGAAGAUUGUGACAUAUUGCUGGAAACAACACCAACAUAAUGUUGCUCUUUUGCCUGGGACCUGCCCUCAAAAGGCAUUGUGAUAUACUGGUGGGCCAAGCUCGAAGGUGAUGACUGCCUGCAGGGGAUAUGGUGACAUUUUACUUUGCCCAGCACCAAGAUGACUUGAAUCUGCUGCCUUUGUUCUACUUUCAGAAGACAUUGUGACAUAUCGCUGGGCCUAGCACCAAGGUGAUGUGAAUCUUCUGCCUGGACCUGCUCACAGAGGGAAUUGUUACAUAUUUUUGACUUCAUCAACUAUUUGAUGUGACUCUCCUCUCUAACCUGGGCCUUGCCCAUAAAAAACAUUGUGGCUUAUCUCUGGGCCCAAAACCUAGGUGAUGUGACUGUCUUCUUAGGGUCAUGCCCACAGUAGAGAGAUGCCUUAUUGCUAAACCCAGCACACAGGUGAGGUGAUUCUUCUGUCUGGUCCCUGCCCACAGGGGUCAUGAUGACAUCUCUCUAAGCCCAUCACCUAGAUUAUGUGAGUUCUCUUUUUCUUCUGUUAGCUAUAUAGAAGAUUGUGACAUAUUGCUUGGCCCAGACCUCAUGUGAUGUGAAUCUCCUCUCAUGCCUUGGUCCUGUUUUUUUUUGGCCGUUGUUGUUUUGUUUUGUUUUUUGAGAUGGAGUCUUGCUCUGUUGCCUAAGCUGGAGUGCAGUGGCAUAAUCUAGGCUCACUGCAACCUCUGCCUCCUGGGUUCAAGUUAUUCUCCUGCCUCAGCCCCUGAAUAGCUAGGAUUAAAGGUGAGUGCCACCACACUCAGCUAAUUUUUGUAUUUUUAGUAGAGAUGGGGUUUCACCAUGUUGAUUAGGCUGGUAUUGAACUCCUGACUUCGUGAUCAACUCGCCUCUGCCUCCCAAACUUUUGGGAUUACAGGCAUGAGCCACCAUGCCCAGUCAAGAUGAUGAUACAUUUCUAAACCCAGGUUAUAGGCAGGUGAGGGUUCUUCUACCUAUACACACGUUUAAAGGGAUGUUGAAUCUCACACGUGGUCUCAGGGCCACAGGUACAAGCAUGGGUCUUCACCAGCAUGAAUAUCUCAGAGCAUACUGCGACUCUCCAGUGUAAUGUAUAAAGCUCUCAGGUGGGACAGUGUCCUAACAGGAUCCAGAACACAGAAAAGAUGUUGAUGCUCCUAUGCACACCCAGGUCACAGUAAAAUAUGUCAUUUUCCCACAUAAUCAUAGCCCAAUGUUGAGAUUCUGCAUCUCACACCUGAAAGAAGUUGAAAGAUGGAAAAUUGACUCUCUUAUAUAGAUCUGGUCUACAGGUAGGUUGGUGACAUUCAGAUCAAAAUUAAGUACACUUGUGAGGCUAUAACUCUUCUAAGAAGACACAGCUCACAGGAGCAACUGAUGCUCCUAUGAACAAAUCCAGUCCGUGAUUGAGAUUCUAACUCAUGUACUUAUUGUCAGGCCUCUGAGCCCAAGCUAAGCCAUCAUAUCCCCUGUGACCUGCACGUAUACAUCCAGAUGGCCUGAAGCAACCGAAUAUCCACAAAGGAAGUGAAAAUAGCCGUAACUGAUGACAUUCCACCAUUGUGAUUUGUUCCUGCCCCACCCUAACUGAUACGAUAUAUUCUCCCUCUGCCCUGAAGAAGGUACUUUGUAAUAGUCUCCCCCCACCUUAAAAAGGUACUUUGUAAUAUUCUCCCCACCCGUGAGAAUGUACUUUGUACACCUAUCCCAAACCUAUAAGAACUAAUGAUAAUCCCACCACGCUUUGCUGACUCCUUUUUUGGACUCAGCCCACCUGCACCCAGGUGAAAUAAACAGCCUUGUUGCUCACACAAAGCCUGUUUGGUGGACUCUCUUCACAGGGAUGUGCAUGACACUUAGACCCAACAUACAGCAGGUGUUGACUCUAAUGACUAGAACCAGGACUUAUGCUAGAUUGUUAAUCUCAUCCCUGAAAUUUUCUGCAGAUGUCAUUGGGACAUACACCUGUGCCCAACAGCUGAGUGAUUUGUCUCUCUUGCUUGGUCACAGCUCACAGGGGCCAUUGUAAAAUACUGCUGAUCCUGUUAUCCAGGUGAUGUGAGUCCCCUCACCUGCUUUGGCACUGCCCACAGGGAACAUUAUGACAUAUGACUGGGACCUGCACCCAGGUUAUGUGACUUUUAUGUUUGUGCUCUGCCCACAUAAGACACUGUAACGUAUUGCCAGUCCAACAUCCAGAUGAUUUAACUCUCCUGCCUGAGCUCUGCCUACAGAGAGCAUUGGGACAUAUCACUGGGCCUAGCACCUAGCAGGUGUCUUUUCUCUUCUGCCAGAGUUCUGCCCAAAGACGAGAUUGUGACAUAUGACUGGUUCCAACAGCAUGGUGACAUGACUCUUUUGUCUUGACCCUGCCCUCAGAAGACAUUGUGAC